CUCUUCCAUGCGGCUGGAAGGGCCAACGCAUUGCUGUUUUCUGGGGCCCCCAAAAAUAAGUCCAUUAUAGUUAUCCCAAACAUCGACACAUAGGUGUUUCCUCCUGAUCUAGUUGAUGCAAAACAGUGUCUAAGAAUGAGCAAACCUAGCUCAGUUAGUCACAAGAAGCACAUCCGUACCAGCUACAAUUCUCAGCUGGUUCAACCAUCAUUUCAAAUCUUUCAGUUUUUAACAGGCAGGAAUCUUCAGGAGGACGCAACUAAACAAAAGCAGGAUGCAGCAAAAGAAAAGCACACCAAAGCCAGGCAGGGCGAGUGUGAUAAGAAGAGAGAAAAUUAAGGCAUACACUCUCACUAAGCUGCUGCUACCAGGCUUUUGGUGGCACCUAUCCGAUUUAUUUUUAGGUUUAUUAUUAGAUUUAUUACUAGUUUUAGAUUGGAUAUUAGGAAAAAUAUUCUUCACUUAAAGGAUUGUCAAGCACUGGAACAGGCUGCCCAGGGAGCUAGUGGGUUUCCCAUCCCGGAAGAAUUGUAAAAACAUGAAGAUGUGGAACCUGGGGACAUGAUCUAGUGGUGGACUUUGCAGUGCUGCAUUAAUUGUUGAACUUUAUGAUUAAUUGUUGGACUAAAAGGCCCUUUCCAACCUAAUCGAGUCUAUGAUUAUAUCCUCUCCUCUGCCACAUGGCACUCCAGCCUGGCAGUGUAAGAAGGCCAGGGCAGACCCUCCAGAGGCAGUGAUUAUACCUCUAGUGCCUGAUGCACCUGUAUCGUGUUCCUGAUGUUCCUGGAGCGAUCGGUCCACUCUGGCUCCCCUGCUGGGGCUUGGACUCUCACUGAGUGCUGCCACGGGCUGCUUUACAUCCCAACAGGGACGGCCAAGUCGUUUCCUCUUAAAAUUACACCAGUCCCCACUCCCCACACAAGGGACCUCAAGAGGCUGUGGGGGCCGAGAGCGACGGGGCACUGGAUUAUCCGCAGGGCUGAAACACGAGGUGGCUCUCUGGGCUGGGAGGCGGCGGCGUUCGCUCGUCCCUACCGGCACCCACAGGGUGAGUAA
Molecule: long non-coding RNA, 1056 nt
Filed under: Cyanistes caeruleus (blue tit)
Lineage: Eukaryota; Metazoa; Chordata; Aves; Passeriformes; Paridae
Description: lncRNA (ENSCCEG00000013322.1)
Source: RNAcentral